Molecule: ribosomal RNA, 1364 nt
Filed under: Sodalis endosymbiont of Nezara antennata
Lineage: Bacteria; Pseudomonadati; Pseudomonadota; Gammaproteobacteria; Enterobacterales; Bruguierivoracaceae
Description: bacterial SSU rRNA
Rfam family: Bacterial small subunit ribosomal RNA
Source: RNAcentral
UUGCUUCUUUGCCGGCGAGCGGCGGACGGGUGAGUAAUUUCUGGGGAUCUGCCCGAUGGAGGGGGAUAACUACUGGAAACGGUAGCUAAUACCGCAUAACGUCGCAAGACCAAAGUGGGGGACCUUCGGGCCUCACACCAUCGGAUGAACCCAGAUGGGAUUAGCUAGUAGGUGGGGUAAUGGCUCACCUAGGCGACGAUCUCUAGCUGGUCUGAGAGGAUGACCAGCCACACUGGAACUGAGACACGGUCCAGACUCCUACGGGAGGCAGCAGUGGGGAAUAUUGCACAAUGGGGGAAACCCUGAUGCAGCCAUGCCGCGUGUGUGAAGAAGGCCUUCGGGUUGUAAAGCACUUUCAGCGGGGAGGAAGGCGGUGGCGUUAAUAGCGCUAUCGAUUGACGUUACCCGCAGAAGAAGCACCGGCUAACUCCGUGCCAGCAGCCGCGGUAAUACGGAGGGUGCGAGCGUUAAUCGGAAUUACUGGGCGUAAAGCGUACGCAGGCGGUCUGUUAAGUCAGAUGUGAAAUCCCCGGGCUCAACCUGGGAACUGCAUUUGAAACUGGCAGGCUAGAGUCUCGUAGAGGGGGGUAGAAUUCCAGGUGUAGCGGUGAAAUGCGUAGAGAUCUGGAGGAAUACCGGUGGCGAAGGCGGCCCCCUGGACGAAGACUGACGCUCAGGUACGAAAGCGUGGGGAGCAAACAGGAUUAGAUACCCUGGUAGUCCACGCUGUAAACGAUGUCGAUUUGAAGGUUGUGGCCUUGAGCCGUGGCUUUCGGAGCUAACGCGUUAAAUCGACCGCCUGGGGAGUACGGCCGCAAGGUUAAAACUCAAAUGAAUUGACGGGGGCCCGCACAAGCGGUGGAGCAUGUGGUUUAAUUCGAUGCAACGCGAAGAACCUUACCUACUCUUGACAUCCAGAGAACGUGGCAGAGAUGCUUUGGUGCCUUCGGGAGCUCUGAGACAGGUGCUGCAUGGCUGUCGUCAGCUCGUGUUGUGAAAUGUUGGGUUAAGUCCCGCAACGAGCGCAACCCUUAUCCUUUGUUGCCAGCGAUUCGGUCGGGAACUCAAAGGAGACUGCCGGUGAUAAACCGGAGGAAGGUGGGGAUGACGUCAAGUCAUCAUGGCCCUUACGAGUAGGGCUACACACGUGCUACAAUGGCGCAUACAAAGAGAAGCGAUCUCGCGAGAGUCAGCGGACCUCAUAAAGUGCGUCGUAGUCCGGAUUGGAGUCUGCAACUCGACUCCAUGAAGUCGGAAUCGCUAGUAAUCGUGGAUCAGAAUGCCACGGUGAAUACGUUCCCGGGCCUUGUACACACCGCCCGUCACACCAUGGGAGUGGGUUGCAAAAGAAGUAGGUAGCUUAA